GACGAACGCUGGCGGCGUGCUUAACACAUGCAGGUCGAGCGGUAAGGCCCUUUCGGGGGUACACGAGCGGCGAACGGGUGAGUAACACGUGGGUGACCUGCCCUCAGCUCUGGGAUAAGCCCGGGAAACUGGGUCUAAUACCGGAUAUGACUCCAUGACGCAUGUUGUGGGGUGGAAAGCCUUGUGCGGCUGAGGAUGGGCCCGCGGCCUAUCAGCUUGUUGGUGGGGUGAUGGCCACCAAGGCGACGACGGGUAGCCGGCCUGAGAGGGCGACCGGCCACACUGGGACUGAGAUACGGCCCAGACUCCUACGGGAGGCAGCAGUGGGGAAUCUUGCGCAAUGGGCGAAAGCCUGACGCAGCGACGCCGCGUGAGGGAUGACGGCCU
This 387-nucleotide ribosomal RNA is filed under the name uncultured bacterium. Its description in RNAcentral is "bacterial SSU rRNA". It matches the Rfam family "Bacterial small subunit ribosomal RNA", at positions 28 to 417 of the family's 1533-position model. The record is from RNAcentral.